CUUCCACAUGAGGCGGGCUGGAUCUCUCGGGGUUACAGCCUUGCUGAAUUAUUCACCCUUGUCUUUUGCGUACUUCUUGUUUCCUUGGUGGGUUCGCCCACCACUAGGACAAACAUAAACCUUUUGUAAUUGCAAUCAGCGUCAGUAACAAAUUAAUAAUUACAACUUUCAACAACGGAUCUCUUGGUUCUGGCAUCGAUGAAGAACGCAGCGAAAUGCGAUAAGUAGUGUGAAUUGCAGAAUUCAGUGAAUCAUCGAAUCUUUGAACGCACAUUGCGCCCUUUGGUAUUCCAAAGGGCAUGCCUGUUCGAGCGUCAUUUGUACCCUCAAGCUUUGCUUGGUGUUGGGCGUCUUGUCUCUAGCUUUGCUGGAGACUCGCCUUAAAGUAAUUGGCAGCCGGCCUACUGGUUUCGGAGCGCAGCACAAGUCGCACUCUCUAUCAGCAAAGGUCUAGCAUCCAUUAAGCCUUUUUUCAACUUUUGACCUCGGAUCAGGUAGGGAUACCCGCUGAACUUAAGCAUAUCAAAACGGGGAAGGAAA
This 540-nucleotide ribosomal RNA is filed under the name Alternaria ricini. RNAcentral describes it as "eukaryotic LSU rRNA". The stretch from base 164 to 317 matches the Rfam family "5.8S ribosomal RNA". Lineage: Eukaryota; Fungi; Ascomycota; Dothideomycetes; Pleosporales; Pleosporaceae. The record is from RNAcentral.